GCUCCCUUCGUCUAGCGGUUAGGACGCCGGCCUCUCACGCCGGUAACAGGGGUUCGAUUCCCCUAGGGAGCG
Molecule: transfer RNA, 72 nt
Filed under: hydrothermal vent metagenome
Description: tRNA-Glu-CTC
Rfam family: tRNA
About the family: Transfer RNA (tRNA) molecules are approximately 80 nucleotides in length. Their secondary structure includes four short double-helical elements and three loops (D, anti-codon, and T loops). Further hydrogen bonds mediate the characteristic L-shaped molecular structure. tRNAs have two regions of fundamental functional importance: the anti-codon, which is responsible for specific mRNA codon recognition, and the 3' end, to which the tRNAs corresponding amino acid is attached (by aminoacyl-tRNA synthetases). tRNAs cope with the degeneracy of the genetic code in two manners: having more than one tRNA (with a specific anti-codon) for a particular amino acid; and 'wobble' base-pairing, i.e. permitting non-standard base-pairing at the 3rd anti-codon position.
Source: RNAcentral